Molecule: transfer RNA, 78 nt
Filed under: Roseibium aggregatum
Lineage: Bacteria; Pseudomonadati; Pseudomonadota; Alphaproteobacteria; Hyphomicrobiales; Stappiaceae
Also listed under: 1 other name
Description: Labrenzia aggregata tRNA-Gly
Source: RNAcentral
GGCUGCUGGCCGGCUGGCUGAGCGGCGGGCGUUACCGACGCCCGGAAUUCUUUCGGCAGUUCGCUCUGCCAGCGGCGC